Molecule: long non-coding RNA, 2142 nt
Organism: Gallus gallus (chicken)
Lineage: Eukaryota; Metazoa; Chordata; Aves; Galliformes; Phasianidae
Source: Ensembl
CUAAAAGCUACAGGAAACUAUGUGUUCUUACUGACCACAUAAGUAGAAAAACAUCAUAGGAUGAUUAAGUUUUAUUUCCACAAAUUUAAGAAUGAUUAGCAAAAAGCAUAGCCUAAAUGGAAAGAAAUAGCAUAAGUGUGGCUUAGAAACCCUACAAGGAGCCCAGAGACAAUGAAAGGAAACAAGUCCAACCAAAACAAGUGCUAAGUAUGCUACAGCAGACUUCUUAAUUUGGCAGGGCGGGGAAGUCCAGCAAAGGAAGUUCACUUGUGGAGUGUUUGAGGUCUUCUACUCAGAUAAUCUACUGCACACACUACUGCUUCUGUCAGUCCUCAUUAAAACCAACACUGGAGAUCCAAGAGUGAUAAAUCCAAGCAUAACAGAAAAAUGUAUGUUGUAGUUCAUAUCUUUGAUCACACCACUCAAAAAUGGUCACUGCCUCAGAGAGGAGAGAUCAGCUUCAUUCAUCAGUCAUGUUUCUAUUCAUGCACCUGUUCUUUAGCAUCUUACAAAAUCAAGAUGGAUGGCUCCUGUCCACUCUGUAGUUCUCAGCAUCUUUAACUCCUUCCUGAGCAGCUGCUACACAUACACUCUGAAUUUCCUGGAAUUUGGACUAUCAGUAAUCAGCUAUGACCACUACAUCAUGAUGCUGACUAAGAAGAAGGCUCAAACUUCCAGAGUCAGGCCAGAGAGAAGACAACCUUUCUCCCACAACGCAAUAACACCAAGCCCCCAUACCAGAUUGAAAUCUGUGGAUCACACUGUCAAUCUUGUCUGGACUGUCCUACCAUACUCACUGUAUAGUCCGGAUUUGGCACCUUCUGAAUUCCAUCUCUUUGCACCUAUGAAAGAUGAACUGUAUUUACAACAUUUUCCUAGCAACAACACCAUCUUAGCAGCUGUGAAACAAUGGGUCACCUUCGCUGGUGCAAAUAUUUACAAGUGUGGCAUGCAGACUCUUGUUCAUCAUUGGAGAAAAAACAUAGCUAAUGGUGGUGACUAUGUUGAAAAUAGUGUAUUAUAGCUGAGACUUUGUUUUAACAGUGUUAUUGUGCUCUUUGUAUCUGUUGUAGUUUCUAAGGAAAUAAAUAGGAGACAAACUAUGCAUAUAUUCUUGCCUCUCAUUUUCCUGAAGGGAAACAAAAAGCAGAAUGCUGCAAACUGAGCCAUCUUAAUCUGUUAACACCGUUGACACUGCAAGCCAGAAAUCACACGAACUGAUAGAAAUAACAGAGCAAAAUUUCUGAGAACUCUGAAUCCUCAAACUUCUUUUAAGCUCAAGUUUCUUUUCAAACAAGAAUUCCAAAACAAACACAGUCCACUGGAAAUUUUCUCAACUUCAGCUGGCUGGAAAAUGAAAGGACUCAGUUUCCCAUCACUUCACUUUCGUUGGUACUCUGACCUUUGGUGUCCCAUUCAUAGUUCCUUUAAGAGGCAGAAAGCCUUCUAUCUGGCUUCCUUCAGCACAUGCCUCUACUAUCACUUUGAGCUAGUGAUCAGACUAGAAGUUUAAGGAGGCACCAAUGGCCACAAAGGACUCACUGGAUUUUGCACUUGUAGACCCAAAGUUCUGCUAAAAAAUAUUUAGAAACACUGGUUUUUGAAUCAGUACCCAUGAGUUGUUGGAAAUAAGUUAGGUUGAUGAAAAUAACCAAAACAACAUAAAAAUAUAUCAAAUACUCUUUCAUACUUUUGAAAACACACAAAAAGGAAAGCAGUGUCUGGAGUAAUUAAUUGUUAAUAAAUGAAAAGAGCUCAAGAAGUCAAUUGAUAAAUGAGGCUGGAAGUCAUUGAAAGAAACAAAAUCCAGGAUCUAUUUAAAAAAAAAAAAAUCUUAAAAAAAUGUAAAACCUACUUUCUGGUGUUUUCUUUGUUGGUUUAUUUUUUUCUUUCCUCCAUACUGAACAAGCGAAACACACAUGGCAAGGGGCAUCUAAUCAUUACUCUGAUUUAGUUUAGGUACCACAGUGCCAUCAUAUGUCCAAAGUUUAUGCAUUUCAAAAUGUUUUCUGAGAAUCACAGUGAGACUUAGAGUAACAGAGAAUAAAAUGAAGUUCUGUUUUUCAAGCAUAUGAACAGUGUAGCGCAAACAGCUUCCAUGCUAUUAGAUGUAGAUUCAGUGAUGGAAAUUGUUCUGCUGGG